Long non-coding RNA from Malaclemys terrapin pileata, 1007 nucleotides. RefSeq lists it as uncharacterized. The transcript is spliced from 3 exons. The record is from RefSeq and is a predicted model, not a curated record. Lineage: Eukaryota; Metazoa; Chordata; Testudines; Emydidae.
UUAUCCUAAUAUAUAAAUAUUAUCUCACUGAUGCUUCAAAUGAUGCUACUGGUUUGGAACUAAAGCUUGUUCCUACUCUCACUUAGAAGAGUGCAGAUCCCUUGACUGCUGUGCAGUUGCUCCUGAUUUACACUGGGGUUGAAGAGAAUUAGGCACCCGGCCUCCGAUUUCCCAUGGAAAAUGGACUUCAAGUGGAGUUGCAGCAGGUGUCCAUUUGAUGGCAAGUACUUCAGUGGCAUGACCUCAGGCAUCAGCAAUGACAGUACACAUUUAUAACUGCAUUAUUUAACUCUGCCAAGUAUUUUCAGGACACAGGUAGCAUAAGGACAUCAUUUGAACCAUAGCUGUAUUUAUGCAAUCCAACUUUGACUGAGGAAGGAGACGAACAUACUCUGUUGGCAAGAAUGCUUCCCCAGGAGUAAUUGUGGACAACUUUCCCCUUUUCUGAGUUUCCAUUAUCAUUGACAUUUUUCAGACUCAGACUUUGUUAGAGACGAAUUUCCUAAGGGUAUGAGCUGGGAAGAUGACAUUUCAUUGACAUACAAGAUGUAUAAAACGCCAAAGAAAGAGUGAGGUAAAUUACAAGGUUGUUUUGAUAACUUAUUGAGGUAGCAGAAGUAGCUUGCUGUGCUGUAAUGAAAAGACAGGAAGUUGUGGUUAAGGCAUAGGGUUGGGAAUCUGUCCUAUACCCAGCCCUACCACAAACUUCCUGUGUUACUUUGACAAUGUUUUUCUAAUGUACCCACUAAUUUUGGAUGCCCAACGAGGGCCCGAUUUUCAGAGAUGCUGAAAACAACAGAAUUGGGACUGCUCUCAAAAUCAGUGGCCAAGGUGUGGCAAGGAAGGCACUCAAAAUUAAUGGGAGCUUUUGAAAAUAACAGUCUAAGCAUGUGUGUCUGCCUCAGUUUCUCUUUCUUUAAAAGGCAGAUAUUAAUACUGCCUCUUAGUGAUCUUAAGAAAGAUGACUUCAUUAAUGUGUGUGAGAUGCUAAGUUACUAAAGUGAGGA